RNAcentral lists this ribosomal RNA (496 nucleotides) under uncultured bacterium. RNAcentral describes it as "partial 16S ribosomal RNA". It matches the Rfam family "Bacterial small subunit ribosomal RNA", at positions 28 to 507 of the family's 1533-position model. The record is from RNAcentral.
GAUGAACGCUGGCGGCGUGCCUAAUACAUGCAAGUAGAACGCUGAAGAGAGGAGCUUACUCUUCUUGGAUGAGUUGCGAACGGGUGAGUAACGCGUAGGUAACCUGCCUUGUAGCGGGGGAUAACUAUUGGAAACGAUAGCUAAUACCGCAUAACAAUGGAUGCCACAUGUCAUAUAUUUGAAAGGGGCUAUUGCUCCACUACAAGAUGGACCUGCGUUGUAUUAGCUAGUAGGUGAGGUAAUGGCCUACCUAGGCGACGAUACAUAGCCGACCUGAGAGGGUGAUCGGCCACACUGGGACUGAGACACGGCCCAGACUCCUACGGGAGGCAGCAGUAGGGAAUCUUCGGCAAUGGGGGCAACCCUGACCGAGCAACGCCGCGUGAGUGAAGAAGGUCUUCGGAUCGUAAAACUCUGUUGUUAGUCAAGAACAGGUGUGUGAGUAAAAGUUCACACUGUGACGGUAGCUUACCAGAAAGGCACGGCUAACUACGUG